RNAcentral lists this ribosomal RNA (415 nucleotides) under grassland soil clone saf1_310. Its description in RNAcentral is "bacterial SSU rRNA". It matches the Rfam family "Bacterial small subunit ribosomal RNA", at positions 37 to 498 of the family's 1533-position model. The record is from RNAcentral.
UGGCGGCAGGCUUAACACAUGCAAGUCGAGCGCUGUAGCAAUACAGAGCGGCGCACGGGUGAGUAACACGUGGGAACAUGCCUUUCGGUUCGGAAUAACUCAGGGAAACUUGUGCUAAUACCGGAUACGCCCUUACGGGGAAAGAUUUAUUGCCGAAAGAGUGGCCCGCGUUGGAUUAGCUAGUUGGCGGGGUAAAAGCCCACCAAGGCGACGAUCCAUAGCUGGUCUGAGAGGACGACCAGCCACACUGGGACUGAGACACGGCCCAGACUCCUACGGGAGGCAGCAGUGGGGAAUCUUGGACAAUGGGGGAAACCCUGAUCCAGCCAUGCCGCGUGAGUGAUGAAGGCCCUAGGGUUGUAAAACUCUUUCGGCGGGGACGAUAAUGACGGUACCCGCAGAAGAAGCUCCGGCU